AGUUCAACUAAAAAAUGCUUGAACAGUUCUUUUCGAACUUGAUAUAAUGUAUAAUUUUUGCUGUCUGAAAUUAUAUCCAUGUAUUUGUCUUUUGAAGUCACAUAUAUUCAAUCUGAUCUCAAAGAUUAUGAGGCAGAUGAGACCUGUUAAAGGGGAUGAAUGAUACAGUUUAUCGGUCGUUCAAACUGUCAAUAUCACUGCUCCGCUCUUACCCCUUACCAUGCGGUACCGUCAUAUCACAGGCGUACCAAAUCCACCGUUUUUUGGCUCCAAUACACUUUAUCGCUUAUCACGACUGACCCGGCC
This 306-nucleotide long non-coding RNA is filed under the name Mytilus galloprovincialis (Mediterranean mussel). The record is from RNAcentral. Lineage: Eukaryota; Metazoa; Mollusca; Bivalvia; Mytilida; Mytilidae.